GGUAGGAGGGAGGUAGAGGAAAAGGUAGUGGGGCCGCGGGACCGGUGCGUACGGCCCAGACCUAUUCAGUUGAUCAGUGAGUGCGGUAGUUGUCUCAUCUCGUACCGCGCCAGGUGUAACUUUCCUCUCUUUCUCUCUCGGUCUCUGUGUGUCCUUGAUACGACGGAGACAGUGAUGGAGUUAAAUCUCACGGAACGUGCUCCGAUCCGGAGCCAAAGCCGCAGCGUUUACAUCACUUUCGAUAUAACCGGCUUACCAUAUACCGGUCAGCACGAGAUACAUUAGUUGAAAUAAGUAGUUUUGAGAGUAUCGAAGCGCGGAGUACCUUGAGUUUAUGCUUAAUAGCGUCACUCUUACCAAGACCAUUGCGUGUAUUACAUUCAAGAUUUAGCAUGCCGAAAUAAUUGAUGUCGAAUUGAAAACAGAGUUCUGACUAUACAAUGAUUAAUAUUCCUAUUUCAAAGUUCGUUGAACAGUAAUAUAACGAACAUAAUCGAAGGGAAAUAUGAUUAGAAAUAAGGAAGCAUAGGAUGUACACGAAGAUAUAACGUUCGCGUAUUUCCUCAAGAUAGCGGAGAAUUUCUUCAAGGCCGAAUGUCAAUAACUCGUUCCUGACAAAAUGGAUAUAUAAAAGUUGUUCUUGAUGUUAAUGUAUUUAGGUGAGCAUUUAAUUUUUCAAACAAAUGUGGUCUUUUUCACGAAUUCUUGACAAGCGAUUUUAAAUAUCUUAUGGAACCUUACAUAAUAUCUAAAAAUAAGUAUAGCACGUUCGCGCGCGCACACAUCGAUAAGACACAAUCAUCGAAGUAACGAUAAUUCACAACGUUGUAUCUCACGUUGGCGUGUUAAAAGAAAUUUCAGCACGAUCGAUUACUCGUUUACACCGUGUAACGUGCGCUGCCGAUCCGUGUUGGAGUAAAUGUGCGUAUUAUGCACAAACUUGCACGCAACAUCAACCACGGACCGUUUCCUCGCGGUAUCGGCAAAAAGCAAUGUCAGAUUAUAUUUUCCUCUUUUGUGGAUCAUUUUAAAAAAUACUUUCCCUUUCUUAACAGUUAUAUAAAAUAAUUUUUAAUUACAUAUCAAUAUUUCAAAGGGCGAACUAGCAGCCCAAGAAAAAAAUGUCGUAUUCACAUAAAUCGUUGUAAGCAUUUUUAUCAUCUUUUUCCAGAAAUAAUAUAUGAUAAUCAAAACAACAAAAUAUUAGAAAAGUUAUAGCGGUUUUUUUGUUAUUCACAGUUGGAGAGAUUUAUAAUAUAUAUUAAAUUCGAUGUAAACAUCGAGUUUCACAUCAGAAUAAUAUUUGCUUGAUAAUUAAAGGGGACAAGUAUUCUUCUUCGCCUGUAUUUUCUUUAAUUUUUUGUAGCACAGAAAAUAAAGCCUGAGCGAGCUAUGUUUAUACUAUCUAUUUAUUUGUUUCGGGCUUUAAGUUUGUCCCCUGAAGUAUUAUAUUAUAUGAUAACAACAUGUAUAACUCAAAACCACUCUCUAUAUAAUUUAAUUAUCUUUACAUUUAUUAUACGUAUUUAUUUGUAAUUAUAACAGAUUUUUAAUUUUUUUCUGGAACGGAUUCUUCUGGUUGAUGAGAGCUAGCUCGAUACCGGCAAAAAGUCAUUUCUGUACGCACAUUCACCGAACAACCGCAACCGGUAUUAUUGCCCCGCGGAAGUUUAUAUCGCAUGCGAUCUUUGUUGCGUUGGCGAACUCGCCGGAGAUCGGCAUGGUAGAGCGAACGUUCGAGGAAUAAAAUGCAAACACGCCGCAUCUGCAUACGUACAUACGCAUUACACGAAUCUUCGUUUAAAAAAGUUAUCAAUGUGAAAUUCUCUCCGGAAUUUGCGAAUAAAUUCGACGCGAUUUUAAUAA
Molecule: long non-coding RNA, 1866 nt
Organism: Formica exsecta
Lineage: Eukaryota; Metazoa; Arthropoda; Insecta; Hymenoptera; Formicidae
Exons: 4
Source: RefSeq, a predicted model, not a curated record